Molecule: long non-coding RNA, 2386 nt
Organism: Polyodon spathula (Mississippi paddlefish)
Lineage: Eukaryota; Metazoa; Chordata; Actinopteri; Acipenseriformes; Polyodontidae
Exons: 3
Source: RefSeq, a predicted model, not a curated record
GCUGGUGUAAUUUAAAAACUUCUACAUUGCGUGGGUAUGAAACAAGCUCGUAUGCUUCUGUGAAGGAGUAGGAGUAAACGACAUUUAGUCUAGCCGUAGCAGUAGAAGACGCUCGUGCCUCAAAAGGACCCUGCACAGGGCUCGCUCAGCAACUGUCUCUCUGCAGGGAAGCCUGGGGUUUGAGGAUCUGUGGUGGACAAGGGCCAGUGAUGGCAGCGUGACCUGGGAUGGUGCUGUGAUGAGUAAUUGCAACAGAAAUAGGUAAUGGCGGAAGCACACCUGUUUGUCAUGGAUUGAAAAAUGAAGAUCCAGGAAGUACUUUGAGUAUAAUGACUUGGCGUUCUGUGUUCAUAAAAGUUACUAGAACUUUUUCCAAAUCCAACUAUUUCCAAAUUUAAAAAACCUGAGAGGAUAUAGCACAGGAAGCUAUGGAAGCUUUUAUUUCAAUAGUUUUGUCCUUGAAAUAUUGUCAUUAAAGAAUAAAUGCCAUUAAAAAAAGAAACAGUUCCACAAAUGACUUAGCUAGAUAUCUGGCACAUGUAUUUAUAGUAAAGUUGCCAACUGUCCGUUUUUUUGACCCAACAGCCGGUUUUAAGGAAGUUUGUACCCGGUCAGAACCCCCUCAGAUCGCUUCACUCACAUUUCUGGUUUUGUCCGGUUUUAGAAAAGUUUGCAACCCUAAUUGAUAGCCACCUUGAUUUUUUUGUUUUUUUUUAACAUUUUGAAAAUAAUCUUGCUUGCAGUUCUAUGUUCUGAAUGUUGUAAGCUUUACACUGGAGCAAAUGCUGAGUAAAUCCGUUCCCUGCCCAUUUAAAAAAGUUGAAAGUUUAGAGAAACCUUGCAUACACACCUCCGCCCACGCAGUUACACAGGAAUAGACGACACAGAGUCAUCAUCGCUCCAUCUUUUCUUGGGCACCAGAUACAGAGCCUUGUCUGGGUGGAAAUAUGAACCCCCUCAUGAUCAGACCAGAAUUUCUUUUUACGCUGUAUGGGUGGCAUUUUCCACGUGCCUCUGAAGACAGCUAGGGAGCCCGUCGUAACUGAAAUAGGAGACAGCUCACUCCCAAGCAACGAGAAAAAAAUAAAAAAAAUAAUGAUGUUGCUGACACCUGUCUGGUCGUGAUAAUUGUAUGUACUCAGUGGAGGGGGAGAAUCCUCUCUGUGUAAAUACAGAGAAUGGUUUCCAAGGGAGAAGAUAGAGCAGUCUGUGUGACUGAUGCUUGUUGUAUUGAUGUGUAGCUGCAUCUCGCUGGGACUGUUUGUUGUAUCGAUUUGGAGCUUGGAAUAUUGCAACCAUCAACGUGGAAUUUGUUGAGUGACCCUGACUUUGACCUCCUAUGUGUGGACUGAGGUGAGUAAACCUCUGUGGAGUGUAUUUGGACUGCACUGUAAUUGUCUGUUGCAGAUAACAAGAUGAUACUGUAACUGCAGUGCUAGUGUUACAACCAAUGACAUGCAAAUAGUUGUAAUCUCUACUUUAUACCUCCAAUCUUACUAUGCUUGUUAAACUACACGUUCAGCACAGGAUAAGCGGGUACCAAAAUUAAAACUUCCUGUAGGAUUUCUGUCCAAUGUGCCUCUUGGCUCCCAUGUUUUGUUUUUCUUCGUUUGACUUUACUUCUUUGUGUCUGGAGCACUCUACGCUUUGCAGCACACUUUUGCCAAAAUGAACUAGAUAUCUCUUAUGCCAGCUGAGCCGCGGCACCUAGUGUUAAGAAUCACAGGCUGCACAGCAACAGCCCACUGGAUUGAUUCUGAUUAGCUUAUUAUUAUGAGCAAUGUCUACUGGGCCACCCAUUGAAUCUUUUCAAAAGCAGCCAAAGGCACAAAAAUAAUUCAGAGGGGCUGAUCGUUGGAAGACAAAGACAAGAGCCCGAACCAAAUGAAAAGAAGUCUUUGUUUGUGUGAGAGUGCUUUUCUGCUCUUUUGGACAUUUUACAUUCCUCUUUUAAAGCACUGUGUAAUCAGACGCAGAUUAUGUAUCGGUCCCAUAAGUUUCCUGUGCAUUUUCUUGUAUCUUCAUUCUUUAAAGUAUGUGGAAGUUCUAUCUGUAGUGUAAAUACACAGUAUACUAAGACAACACUGCCUUGGUCCUUGCAAAUAAACAUGGUCUAAGAUGUUGUUUUAUGUGCCUUGCACUGGGGUUUUUUGUCAUCGUAUUUUCAUGUGUGCUUUAGGUUUAAUAUAAAUCUACUAAAUUAAAAAAAGCCAGCUCUUAGCCUAAUCUAGUUAUUUUUAUUACUGAACAAUCAAAUACAAAAAAAUAAACAUGAUGGUUAGCAAAGCCCAAGGAGACCUGGGACACUAGAUCUUUCUGUUUAACACUUCCUGCUGCUUACUAGGGCAUCCCACUAUCAUCAAAACAGAAUCAAUUAAUAUAAGAA